UACGUAGGGGGCGAGCGUUGUCCGAAGUUACUGGGCGUAAAGAGCGCGUAGGCGGGUCUUUAAGUGAGGGGUGAAAGGUUCAGGGCUCAACCCGAACACUGCCUUUCAUACUGGGGACCUUGAGUGCGGGAGAGGCGAGUGGAAUGGUCGGUGUAGCGGUGAAAUGCGUAGAUAUCGAUCGGAACACCCAUGGCGAAGGCAGCUCGCUGGCCUGCAACUGACGCUGAGGCGCGAAAGCGUUGGGAGCAAACAGG
Molecule: ribosomal RNA, 254 nt
Filed under: uncultured bacterium
Lineage: Bacteria
Description: partial 16S ribosomal RNA
Rfam family: Bacterial small subunit ribosomal RNA
Source: RNAcentral